Long non-coding RNA from Olea europaea var. sylvestris, 472 nucleotides. RefSeq lists it as uncharacterized. The transcript has 2 exons. The record is from RefSeq and is a predicted model, not a curated record. Lineage: Eukaryota; Viridiplantae; Streptophyta; Magnoliopsida; Lamiales; Oleaceae.
GCCUCGUACUUUAACUAUAUUUCUUCACAUGCAGGGCGAAAAUUUGGUAACUGCUGUUCUAACUGGACCCGGUAUUGUCUUUAUUCAAAGUAUGCCCUUCCACCGGCUUUCUCAGCGAAUUGCUAGGUCUGUUACCUCUCCAAACAUGAGGGAAAAUCCGAAGUUUUUCCUUCAGAUAGCAGUCUUCUUCUUCCUAGCUUAUGUUGUUAUUGUGUCAUCGCUAAUCUUGACCGAUAUAUAAUGUUUUCAUUUAAUUUCGUUAGAAUUCAACUGAUGCUUCUUUUUACCUACUAUACAUUUUGUACACAUCGUCAGUUUGAAAAUAUAUGGGAGAGGAAAACGGGGUUUUACAUUAGUUUCAAAUGAGGAUGUAUCGUGAUGAAACUGUGCAGACAGGAAUAGUUUUUUCAGUUUAAUGUUUGGAAUGAUUGGAUAUCAUUAUAAGGGAGAUAAAGAAGUUAAAUUUUGUUUA